AGUUGUAUGUAUACUUCGUCAAAGGGCGGCAAGACUGUUUACGCAAUUUUUCUUUUUUGGCCAAGAUGGGAUAUCCUUAACCUUGGUGCGCCUGAGGUGAGCUCUCGUACACACAUCUCAAUAGUUGGCUACGAUGGAGACAUUGACUGGGUUGUAUCGCCACCUGGAAUUCAGUUGACUUUGCCAUCGAAAUCGGAAAUGUUAAGUGAUUGGGCUUGGGUGGUACAGUUAGAUAACUUGGUGAACUGAAAGGAUAAACGACCCGUGCACUAUUGCUUAAUGCGGAAAAUUGCUAUUCUUCAUUUUAAAAAUUAUAUCUAAUCAUCAGAAAAUGGUGAAUUGAAGACAAGUCAUAGACGUUAACUUUUCGCCGUCGUCCUUAAACAAUAUCAAAGUACAGUCCAAGCGUUCUUGAACAUUUCGAGAUCCUUGUCAAUGUGUUAUUUACUAUGUAGUACAUAUGGUGCUGAAUAGAAAAUCAGUCAGCAGGUGUU
Molecule: long non-coding RNA, 494 nt
Organism: Daphnia magna
Lineage: Eukaryota; Metazoa; Arthropoda; Branchiopoda; Diplostraca; Daphniidae
Exons: 2
Source: RefSeq, a predicted model, not a curated record